RNAcentral lists this long non-coding RNA (1006 nucleotides) under Triticum aestivum (bread wheat). RNAcentral describes it as "long non-coding RNA (TAES_LNC019086)". The record is from RNAcentral. Lineage: Eukaryota; Viridiplantae; Streptophyta; Magnoliopsida; Poales; Poaceae.
UUUGAGGCACUUGAUGAGUUUGUAGUCACAUGAAACCCAUGGACUCAGGAGCAUGUACAUAUGGUCUUUGAUAUAUGACUCAUCAUAGAUGGCAUGUUGACUGAUAGUGCAUUCUGGCUGACUCGCUGCUACUUAUUGUUCUUGUGGUGUGUUGAGCCUUACAACCCAGAGCGUGUCAUGAGACAGUUCGGUCUGUAUUAGGAGAUUCCACCACCUUUUCCAAGAUGUACCGACGAGGAAACCCAUAAGUAAGAUGUGACCUCCCUAAAUAGUUAGUGUCCUUUUUAACUUACUCAACUCACACUUUGUUACAUAAUUUGCAGGCUGGCCAAUAUGGGCCACAGUUGGAGUCUUCACGAUUGGAGGGAACACAACAUUCAAUGGGUACACAUGUGGGAAAAUGAAGCGCUAGCAGAUAUAGUGUAUCAACUUCGGUACAUUUUAUUUACAUUAUUUUAUUACGAUGACCAUACGAUGCGUGAAGAUGAUUUGCUUUCAUCACAACGGUUGAUAUUAUUAUAUAAUUUUGCAGACCAUACGAUGUGUGAAGCCUCGUGUGAACUGAUACACGUUUGGGAGGCAUGAUCAAAAACUCUUCCUUUUCACGUUAAUUGACCAUUUUGGUGGGCUAUAGCCCACGAUUUUAGGGUUUUGGAACAAUUUGUUAGCCCCAUGAGACCCGGUACAUGUUGUUGAGGCAUGACCAAAAACUCGUCCUUUUCGCGUUAAAUGACCAUUUUGAUGGGCUAUAGCCCAUGGUUUUGGGGUUCUGCUACGAUUUGUAAACCCCACGAUACCCGGUAAAAGUUUUCACCAAUUCAAUACGUAUUGGUGAAUUAAAAUGAUGUUCAUGAAUUUGUUAAUUGUUCAUGAUUUUCUAAAAAUAUUCAUGAAUAAGAUAAAUGUUCAAGAAUUCAGAAAAAAAGGUCAUGAAUUUUAAAAAUGAACAUUGGGACGAAAAAAUGGUCAAACCUAGUUGCGAGUUGAUGGUGGACUUGAAAUUGGG